GACGAAACGCUGGCGGCGUGCCUAACACAUGCAAGUCGAACGGAGUAAACCGCUGAUUUGAAGGUAGCUUGCUACUGGAUUUUCUUGGUUUACUUAGUGGCGGACGGGCGAGUAACGCGUGAGCAACCUGCCUUUCAGAGGGGGAAUAACGACCGGAAACGGUCGCUAAUACCGCAUAACGUAUCAUGGUGGCAUCAUCGAGAUACCAAAGGAGCAAUCCGCUGAAAGAUGGGGCUCGCGUCCGAUUAGAUAGUUGGUGGGGUAACGGCCUACCAAGUCGACGAUCGGUAGCCGAACUGAGAGGUUGAUCGGCCGCAUUGGGACUGAGACACGGCCCAGACUCCUACGGGAGGCAGCAGUGGGGGGAUAUUGGUCAAUGGGGGAAACCCUGAUGCAGCAACGCCGCGUGAAGGAAGAAGGUCUUCGGAUUGAAACUUUUGCUUUGGGGACGAAUAAAGUGACGGUACCCAAGG
This 473-nucleotide ribosomal RNA is filed under the name uncultured bacterium. Its description in RNAcentral is "bacterial SSU rRNA". It matches the Rfam family "Bacterial small subunit ribosomal RNA", at positions 32 to 484 of the family's 1533-position model. The record is from RNAcentral.